Colossoma macropomum (tambaqui) is the source of this 6102-nucleotide long non-coding RNA. RefSeq lists it as uncharacterized. The record is from RefSeq and is a predicted model, not a curated record. NCBI's taxonomy places the organism in Eukaryota, Metazoa, Chordata, Actinopteri, Characiformes, Serrasalmidae. The transcript is spliced from 4 exons.
UUAUGUGUACUGAAAGCAAAAUGCUCUAAUCAAACAGUCAGCUUUUAUGCUAACAUACACAUACGAGGUCGACCAAAUACAAACUCCUCUCAAACUUGAACCUAGCAUAAACUCCCUGGCUAAUUCGCCGCGAAAGCGAUAACGUUAGACGUUAGUCUUUCUGUUUGGGAGGCUUCUUUGUUUGCUCUGAACUUCUUUAACGUGGUUUACUGCUUCUCGUUCUGGGCUUUCCCCCCCUUCUUUUUUUUUCUUGUCAGUUUGAAGGCAUAUCAAAUGGCGACGAACUGUUAACGUCCCCGGGUUAGCCUAUUAUUUCGACGCGGAGAAGUGUAAUCUCAUGAACGGAGAGCAGAAAUGAGCUGGCCGUAGGGCAAAGCACCCUGAUACCUUAUCCAGUCCGCCGUAAUCUGUGGCAGAAGUUGCCAUUGAAACGGAAAGGUAGGCUGCCUGCGGUCUGGGGCUCUUGUGUAACGGUCGCUGUGAAUCCCUGUUCACCUCAGUUGAACUUGUGUGAUCUAGUUCACUAAAACGGAACGGCGCUGUCACUCCGGGUCUAAGCGGGCGAGCGAAGCUGCCUUCCGAGCAAAAAAAGACCAUUUUGAAUCGUUCACAGAAAUGGCACAUAGAUUGAAAGACAAAGCCAUUUCGACGUUUGGUGGACGGUACGAGGAGAUAGCUUCCUCGCUGACAGCGGCGGGUGAAGCGACGGUUAGCCCACGACUACCCCCCUCUCCUCGGUCUCGGUUCGGCUUUGCGAGGCGCUGCUGCGUGCGGUCAACAAAAGUAACCGGGGGACAGGAAUUCACCAUGAAGAAUGACAUCUUUUCCACCGCCUGUCGACUGGGGACAUAUACUUGAACUUCACCUUGAAAAACUGAGAGCUAGCCGUGAACACCGGCUCCGUGGCUAGAGGCUAGUUUUUUUUUGUCAUUUUUGUAUUUUACACACGGACUCGGAGGCUAGCAAGCUUGCGGAGCGACGUGGCUGUAACCGAAACAGCCGACUGUGACCCACCACUAGUGGGGCUUAAAAUGGCGAAAACUUGUGCACACAGUCUCUGAUUCAGGAAGGUCCUUUUGCCUGUUUGUUGAUCAGACAGAAGAAGAAUUUUGGAGAUGAGUGGAGAGUCUCAUGCUUGGCACGAUGAUGCAGAGGCUGACCCCAGAGUUCACAGCUGUAAUUGAGAAGUCUUGCAGACACGUGCGCAAGGGGGCCCAGGAGAGACCACCACCGCGGCGAGCUCGCUACCUCUCCGGCGCGAGGGAGUAAAAGGUAUGUGAUAAAAAGGUGGCUUUUUUCUUCUGAAACAUGAAACAAAUUCUUCUUUUAUUAAUUCUUACAUUUAAUCUAAUCGCUUGAUUUGAAAUAUUCAGGAGUACUAAAUGUUGGCAAGUGCUGCUCAGUCAUCCCUAAUGCUGAACAUUAAAUGUUAAUUAGAAGCUUACCCUGAAAGUUUUAUGGGUGACCUUUGUGACUUUAAGUAGCCCUUGGCAUGUGUGCAAGUCAAUCAAAAAAGUGUUUUUUUUUAUCUUCUGUGGACCGUAGCAUUUAAACACAGCAGAGCAGGCACUGUCAGAGGCUCGUGAACAAUGUGGCGUUUGCUCUGGCCACUGACGUCGCAGCCCUCGAUUCACUCCCUCCUGCCCAUCUUAGAGCAGAUUUUUGCUUUUUUUCUAUGAAUAGCUGCAUGUUAUUUAAAGGGUCACUUUGAGAGAAUGAGAAAAAUUUUAAGUUCUUUUCAUCUGCUUACCAUAUUUCUUGUAAUUACGUGUUAGUUUGUCUGUCACAUCUGGAAACGAAGUUGUCUGUGUUGAAUUACUGUAUUUUUGGUUUCUGCUAAUCCUCUCAGUUUAAACAGACAAUGUACUGCACAGCUGGAUUGUGACCCUUAACAAACAUUUCCUCCUCAGCAAACUGCUUGCUUUGUUGGUUGUGCAUGUAUUUGGUGUAUAUUGCCUUGUAAAAAUCACAAGUCUAUUAAUGUAGAUGUUUUGCCUCAAAAAUGUGCAGAAAAGAAAUGCUGAAUAAGGGAAGUAUAAAUUAUAUAACACAAUUGAAAACCCUUCCCUGCUACCUUGAUCCAGUUUGCUUUUAUUUUAGUUUUCUUUUCUAAUAAUAAAAAAAAUCUAAAGUUUAAUGUAUAUGUAUGUAUUUGGAUAGACAGACUGGUACAUGUACAGUCAUGUAUUGAGCUCCGGCAGCCAUUUUGUUUGUGAAUGAAAGGACAUUUUGCUCACUGUUGCCUGGCUAUAGUGCCAUUAUUGCUAUAGUGAAAUUUAAUGUACACUGGUCAUGUACCUGUUUGCUUUGAUUUAUUUUUUUCCACUAAAUGAAUGGGAAGAGAAAGGAUAUCAAAAAAUCUUCUGCACUACUAAUGAUUCAUGCAUAUGUAACAGUUUGCCAUUACUUAAUUCGUCAGCUUAUUGCUGCCUGCUGCUGCUCUGUAAUAUGCAUUAACAAUUUAAAUCUGCUCUGAAAACAAUAUAUUGGAAAAACCAGCCAUGAUAAUUAAGGGGUAAUAGGGGAAGGUUUACCCCCUCAGCAAAAAAAAAGACAAAACAGCUUUUAAAAUUGCGAGAGCCUUUUUACAAAUGAUCUUGGUGGUGACGCAUGAAAUAACCCUGAGGUUGUGCAGUGAAAAGUAUCAUAAAGAGUUUGUUAUGAUUGGCGUUUGAUCAGUGGUGCUCCCAGUCCAUCGGUCUUAUGAACGAUAGGCCUUAUAGAGCAGCAUAGUGUUUGGGAGUUGGCAGCCAACCCAAAACCAAAAUUGUAUCCUCGAGUGAACUUUAAUGCAGUGAACGACACAACACACAAGCCAAACCCUUGCUCCUUAGAGGCAGGUUAAAUAGUAAACAAGCAGCAGAUGAGAACAGGGUCUCACUGCCACCAUCACUGCUAAUACAAUAAAUUUCGGAUGGACGAUUUGUUACUGCUCUCCUUUAGCGCCUGCAAGAGAUUUAGCCGUUGCACGUGUAAAAUGCGCCUAACUUUUUUCGCCAUUUUGCGAUUGGUCAAGAGAUGUGGCGCGAUGUGACGUCAGGGCGUUUUUAGCCCCUGCCAAAAUAAGUGCACCGUCUGCUUUUGUUGUUCGAAAAAUUAGAAUAAAAAAGGAGAGAAGUGCUUACUUUUUAGUUUUUUACCCCUUCGCCGUUUUCACAUGGCAUCGUGCAGCCUAGAUUUGGUGUUGAAUUGAAGGUGUGGUGUGUGUGGUUUGCGCCGACUGCUCGUGUAUGUGUGUGUGUAUGGAAUGACUGGUCAGUGCCAGCAGCAGAGAACGAGGGGAGAAAGCUGGGAGAGGAGGCCCAGGAUGAGGCAGAGAGAGGGAGAGAGAGCCUGGGCGGACCGGCCGCUCUCUCUGUCCCUCCUCCGUGUCAGAGAGUGUGUGUGUGUUUGUGUGAGAUUGUGUGUGUGUGUGUGUGUGUGUGUGAGUGAGAGAGCUCGUUGAGCAGUAGCAGCAGCCUCCGUGUGGCCGUGCUAGGUGGACGUGGCACAGGCUUUUGUCACGGCGAACGGAGCGCCGUCAGCUAAACAUUGCGAAGCAUUAAAAACAGCAGAUCUCUCUGUGUGUACUGUAACACAGACAGCUCCAUCUAUCCUGUUCAGAGCAUGUGCACUGCUCUCUCUCUCUAUUUCUCUCUCUGCUUCUCUCUCACUGUCCUUUCCUCAGGGACAUGUGUACAAAGUUUUGCGUUUCCUUUGUCUUUUGCUGUCUUUUUAAGGCAGUUAGUUUUUUCGUGUUAUAAAUUAGCGACUUAAAAAAGGAUAAAAAAUUGUAUAGCAAGGAACGUUUCCAAUGUUUAUAACAUUGUAUUAUAACUUUUAAUAAUACAUUUCUCACUAAACGUUAAUAGAUGUCUAAUAUUCCUUCGUUCAGCCUCAUAGAGAAGCAAAGGAGAGAGUAUAAGAGUGUUUGUGCAUGUGCUCGCGCAUGCGCGCUUUUGUGCUUUGCAACACAAAAUGGGGGAUGCAAUGGGGGAUUCUCGAUAGCAUUCUGGUGAAUUAUAUUAAGGCUUCUUCACUGCAUCAUUAUCACAUAGCGUUCAGACGACUGACAAAAGCGUUAUCGCUCCCAAACAUGGCGUUUGAGUUUUGGUUCGAUCAUGAACUUUGCGUCAGAAUUGAGAAAAGAAGGAACAAUGUCACAGUGCAGAACGUGAUCGGGUUAAUACAGCAAACCGCACAAACCCCUCCUUCUCUUCCACUGUGAAGCACACUUCUCAACCUUGGGCAGAGUGUCAGGUAGGCUGUGCCCUAGCUGUGGUGUGGCUGCAGUGCGUGCGGCGUCACUGCAGAAGAGUUCUCCCUGCAAAUCACAGCAGCUGUUUCACCUCUGAGCAUAGCAGUGCUUCUAUCAGCUUCUGACUGGUGGCAGUAUGGCGUGCGAGGGGGCUGUAAGGUAUUACAGUCAAACUGCCUGACCAGUAAGUUCCCCAGGGACAUGAGCACAAACGGAAAAAACUGUUUGGCAUCGUCCUGGCACCAUCUCUGACACUUUGGAGCGGUUGCUUCCAGCGGAUAGAUGUUUUACUCUUUCUGUGGGUUGUUUUUUUCCCCCUCAGAGCAGCAAUGGACUCGACCGUCGCUUGUCGAAAAAUGAUUCAAGCCGUGCUUUUGUUUUUUUCUUGCAUUUUAUAUGCCCUUUUCAUGUCAACUGUUAAUUCCCAUUCAUUUGUACUAAUAACUGUGUAUAUGCAGAGAAGUCAUUUUUAAUUUGGGCAGCGAAGGCGCAAAUGCAAACUGUACUUGAAUAGUUAGCAUCGUAAGUGAGUGUGUAUGUGUGAGUAGUCCUUGGGAGAACUGGAGUCUGUGUCACUCUUUUCUCCACCCUUUUCACCCCUCCCUCCUCAUGCUGUCGGUUUUUCUCUCGUGCUUAGUGGCUGCGGUGAAGAAUAAAAAAAAAAGGCUGCUUUGCUCGUGUUCACUGCAAGCUCCCUUAUUUCAUCAUCCUCUUCUUCUUCACUUCUCUACCUCGCUCGCUUUCUCUCUUCCCUCUCUUUCUAUCUUUCUUCCUCUCUCUUUCUCUCUCACUCCUCCAGACUUGGCCGCAUGCGAGUAGUAGAAUGGAGAGAGAGAGAGAGAGAGAGAGAAAGAGAGAGAGAGCAGAUAAAAAAGAGAAAAAAAGCGUCUGCUGCUAUUUCUACAGUAAGGUCCUCCCCUUCAGGCAGCCUGUGCCAGGAGAAGGAGGGUUUUUUACUACUCUCUGGAUUUUAACCCUCUGCCUCCAACCAGUCGCCAAGACUAGUUCCUCCAGUCCUACCAGAAGUUACUUUCCUGGUAUUCUUCAUAUUUCCAUCACAUAUCUUUAGCUUUUUUUUUUCGUGACUGCUCUUAACUGUUGCAUUUGCUUUCCUUUAUUUUCACAGGUACCGAGUGACUUCUGUCUGUGCUGCUGCUCUCCCGAUAUCAAAACGCUUUGCGGAUGCUUGGUUUGAACCUCCCGGCCGUGUUUUGUUUAGAUCUGGAGCGCAGGUGUUUGUGGUCAUCGCUCAGGUUUCUCUCGGAUGGUCGCUUGUAGCGCUGAGGUUUGAAAAUGGCUGUGGUCUUCCAGCUUGUUGCAUGUCUCCGAGUAGGGAAGUGGGAAGUGCCAAUAGCUCUAUUGCUGAAGCACCGCCCUCUCUCUCUCUCCCUCUGUCUUUUUCUCUGGCUCUCUCGCUCUCUCGCGUUCUCUCUCACCCUCCCUCUCCUCAUGCGCACACAUACAGUGCUUCUUUCACACUCCUCUCCUCUCCUCUCUCUCUCUCUCUCUCUGAAAGGAGAGCAGGAGGGCGGUGCAGUGGUGGAGCUUUUUCUGGGACAGGUGCCAAUUCCAAACAAAAGACAUAAAAAGGCAAUGAGUGAGAGAUGCCUCCAUCGAAAGAAAGAAAUAUGUUGCAUGUUGAAACGAAAGAGCAGAUUUGUAGCGACCAUGCAUGCUUGCCCGUGCGUUUGUGCGUGCGUACGCGACUGUGUGUUUAUUCAGCUGGAUGUAAAAGUGGACCGUCAGCAUGCAACGGGCGAGGGAGUAAGCCAGCGAGCGAGCGAGCUGAGAUUUGGAAUACUUUUCCUCCGUCUUCCCGACUCUCUCUCUCCCCUCGCGCUCUCACCGUCCACUGAAGGCAUUUC